This 272-nucleotide unclassified non-coding RNA is filed under the name Hevea brasiliensis (rubber tree). The record is from RNAcentral. Lineage: Eukaryota; Viridiplantae; Streptophyta; Magnoliopsida; Malpighiales; Euphorbiaceae.
GCGUGUUAUGUACUGGAACAAGCUCAUCUAAUUUGCAUAAAGUAGAUUUUCAUAUCUGAUCACUUCACUUUUAUCUGUAGUUUUUCUGACUUGUUGAGAAACUUUAUUUUCUUUUCUUUUUUUUCGCCUUUUAUUUCACUUUUAGAAGGGCAAUUUUAAAGAUAGAAAUUUAUAAAAAUGUGAUAUGUUAUUUGUUCAAAUUGCUUCUUCAAACUUGUGCAAAAUGGAUCAUCUCAUUUUUAUUUUUCAGAACAACAGUGUAAGGUAUCUGC